This 315-nucleotide ribosomal RNA is filed under the name uncultured eukaryote. Its description in RNAcentral is "partial 18S ribosomal RNA". It matches the Rfam family "Eukaryotic small subunit ribosomal RNA", at positions 1470 to 1796 of the family's 1831-position model. The record is from RNAcentral.
CCCUUAGACGUUCUGGGCCGCACGCGCGCUACACUGACCAGUGCAACAAGCAUCCGUCCUUGGCCGACAGGCUCGGGCAAUCUUUGAACGCUGGUCGUGAUGGGGAUAGACUUUUGCAAUUUUUGGUCUUCAACGAGGAAUUCCUAGUAAACGCAAGUCAUCAACUUGCAUUGAUUACGUCCCUGCCCUUUGUACACACCGCCCGUCGCACCUACCGAUUGAAUGGUCCGGUGAAGCCUCCGGAUUGGCGCGCACCUCGGUGCCGCCGAGAAGUUGACUAAACCUUACCAUUUAGAGGAAGGUGAAGUCGUAACA